CUUUCUUGUUUUAAGAACUUUUUUUUUUAUGUUCAAAGAUCAAAUUUGUAAGACCGUUAAUUCUAUAAAAAUAAUCCAAAUUAUAUAUAUUUUUUUCUUUUUUUGAAAUUUUAUUUAUUAUUAAUAUUUUUAGAUGAUAUUUUUAAGUAAAAAAAAUCAUAUUUGCAUAUGUUCUAAGAAAAAUCAAAUUUCACAUUUUAUUACAUAUUCAAAAUUAAUACUCU
RNAcentral lists this long non-coding RNA (224 nucleotides) under Lathyrus oleraceus (garden pea). RNAcentral's name for it is "Pisum sativum (pea) long non-coding RNA (PSAT_LNC012562)". Lineage: Eukaryota; Viridiplantae; Streptophyta; Magnoliopsida; Fabales; Fabaceae. The record is from RNAcentral.